GACAGAGGAGCCAAGCGUUGUCCGGACUGACUGGGCGUAAAGCGCACGCAGGCGGUGCGGUAAGUGGGGUGUGAAAGCGGUCGGCUCAACCGACCGAGGCCAUCUCAGACUGCCGCACUCGAGCGCUGCAGAGGGUGGUGGAAUUGCCGGUGUAGUGGUGAAAUGCGUAGAGAUCGGCAGGAACACCGAGGGGGAAGCCAGCCACCUGGGCAGCCGCUGACGCUGAGGUGCGAAAGCGUGGGGAGCGAACAGG
Molecule: ribosomal RNA, 253 nt
Filed under: uncultured bacterium
Lineage: Bacteria
Description: partial 16S ribosomal RNA
Rfam family: Bacterial small subunit ribosomal RNA
Source: RNAcentral